This 247-nucleotide long non-coding RNA is filed under the name Gossypium barbadense (sea-island cotton). RNAcentral's name for it is "long non-coding RNA (GBAR_LNC015155)". Lineage: Eukaryota; Viridiplantae; Streptophyta; Magnoliopsida; Malvales; Malvaceae. The record is from RNAcentral.
GUCCUUGCUGAAAUCAUAAACCACAAAUUAUUUUUCAUCAAAAUAGAAAAAAAACAGUAUCAACUCUCGGCCAUCAUUUUCUACUUUUAAAAAAAACCCUAAUUGAAAAAAUACCACGAUUUGUCCCACGAAAUCCCCACGUUUUCCCCUUUCCUUCUUUAGAGUAAACUCAGGUUUUCUAUUUUACUAUAAACCAGUUCAAUAUAUAUAAGUAUGGCUGACCAAGCCAAACAUCCAAGUCCCACAU